RNAcentral lists this unclassified non-coding RNA (784 nucleotides) under Zea mays. RNAcentral describes it as "misc RNA Zm00001eb089050". Lineage: Eukaryota; Viridiplantae; Streptophyta; Magnoliopsida; Poales; Poaceae. The record is from RNAcentral.
CUGGAGCUCGCCUUCCUGCUGGCCGCCCCCAGCACCGACGCCCCUGCUUUUUCCCCAUCUCCUUCCUUGGCGCGCUCGCCCAGGUCGCGCGUGUCCCUGCUCGCCCAGGCCGCGACCUCGCCAAACCGCGCAGUCCCUGCUCUCCUUCCCCAGCCGCGCUCAGCCCAGCCCUUCCUCCUUCGCCCUUGUCGAGCUCCCUCAGCUCGCCCCCAACCACAACCGCACGCCAACCUCGCCCUAGGCCAUGGAGCAGCAACAACCAUGGAACCCUUUCGUGUCGCGCCCUCGAUGUGCUCGACGAAAGUUGGUUCGAUGAACGGGUUGGCUAAUCGCGAUGUGUGGAGGAGACAAAUUUCUAGGAUCUGAGGGUAAGAGAAGCCAAGACCUAGAGCGAUGAUCACUAGUUGUUCGGUGAAAAGGACGAACCGGUGAUCGUGGUUGGUCUUGCGAAAUCCGAGUUCUAUUUUAUGUUGGUGUUGUGCGGUGUGAUCUCCAAUUCCAUGUUGCUGAUGUCUUGCUCCAUCAUGACCUUAGGAAAGGAUGUUUUCCUCUAAAUUAUCGUAAUAAUUAUGCUGGGUUUAUGUGUUGUUUUAGCAUACAUUGUGAAAAGCAUUUCUUGCUCAGCAGGACAAGGAGGGGCUUUCAUGAAAUAACUUUUGACCACUUAUGUUCCUUUUCCAAAUAUAAAUUAGUUAGAAGUGGGUCUUGGCAAUAAUUAGCUCAUGACUAUUUGUUGUUGGCCCUUUGGCUGCAAUUUCUGAAUAGUUUGAUGUGAAGGGACCUU